Molecule: non-coding RNA, 73 nt
Organism: Rhagoletis zephyria (snowberry fruit fly)
Lineage: Eukaryota; Metazoa; Arthropoda; Insecta; Diptera; Tephritidae
Source: the annotation of a RefSeq genome assembly
GGGAUAUUAGCUCAAUCGGUAGAGCGUGAGACUCUUAAUCUCAAGGUUGAGUGUUCGACCCCCUCAUAUCCCU